UACGUAGGGGGCAAGCGUUGUCCGGAUUUAUUGGGCGUAAAGAGCGUGUAGGCGGCCAGGUAGGUCCGCUGUGAAAACUCGAGGCUCAACCUCGAGAUGUCGGCGGAAACCAUCUGGCUAGAGUCCGGAAGAGGAGAGUGGAAUUCCUGGUGUAGCGGUGAAAUGCGCAGAUAUCAGGAAGAACACCCGUGGCGAAGGCGGCUCUCUGGGACGGUACUGACGCUGAGGUGCGAAAGCGUGGGGAGCGAACAGG
RNAcentral lists this ribosomal RNA (253 nucleotides) under uncultured bacterium. RNAcentral's name for it is "partial 16S ribosomal RNA". It matches the Rfam family "Bacterial small subunit ribosomal RNA", at positions 524 to 776 of the family's 1533-position model. The record is from RNAcentral.